Molecule: long non-coding RNA, 346 nt
Organism: Cyprinus carpio carpio
Lineage: Eukaryota; Metazoa; Chordata; Actinopteri; Cypriniformes; Cyprinidae
Source: Ensembl
CUUCGCCUCUAGGAGUUAGAGCUCAUUCCACUAGAGCAGUUGCUUCUUCUCAGGCUGUCCUCAGUGGAUCUUCUAUGACUGAUAUCUGUGCUGCGGCAGGAUGGUCCUCACCGAACACUUUUAUCAAGUUUUACAGUCUGGAUGUAAGGACGGCUCCUGGCUCCCGGGUUCUCUCCGCUUGAGCAGAUGCUUCCUUGGAUCCCAGCUAUCAGGUACGUCAGGCGUUAUGGUAUAGGGUUCCCAUACGGUGAUGUCACCGCAGCAUCGAAGUGACGUAUGAAAGGGAACAUCUCGGUUACGUAUGUAACCACGAUGUUAUAUAAACAUUAUCCCCCGGUUUCACAGA